GAUGAACGCUGGCGGCGUGCCUAAUACAUGCAAGUCGAGCGAACAGACGAGGAGCUUGCUCCUCUGACGUUAGCGGCGGACGGGUGAGUAACACGUGGAUAACCUACCUAUAAGACUGGGAUAACUUCGGGAAACCGGAGCUAAUACCGGAUAAUAUAUUGAACCGCAUGGUUCAAUAGUGAAAGACGGUUUUGCUGUCACUUAUAGCUGGAUCCGCGCCGCAUUAGCUAGUUGGUAAGGUAACGGCUUACCAAGACAACGAUGCGUAGCCGAACUGAGAGGGGGAUCGGCCACACUGGAACUGAGACACGGUCCAGACUCCUAAGGGAGGCAGCAGUAGGGAAUCUUCCGCAAUGGGGGAAAGCAUGACGGAGCAACGCCGCGUGAGUGAUGAAGGUCUUCGGAUCGUAAAAAUCUGUUAUUAGGGAAGAACAAAUGUGUAAGUAACUAUGCACGGAGUGACGGUAACUAAUCAGAAAGCCACGGCUAACUACGUG
RNAcentral lists this ribosomal RNA (497 nucleotides) under uncultured bacterium. Its description in RNAcentral is "partial 16S ribosomal RNA". It matches the Rfam family "Bacterial small subunit ribosomal RNA", at positions 28 to 507 of the family's 1533-position model. The record is from RNAcentral.